GGUAUUUGUUGCUAACUGGUCCUAUGGCCAUGUCGGUUAACAGAUCCUCAUUUGCUGGACUGCUGGCGAUGGCCUUUAUCGGUUGUCGUCAGUUGCCAGCACGUUUACUUUGAGAAAAUUAGAGUGCUAAAAGCAGGCUCAUGCCUAUAUAUAUUGCAUGGAAUAAUGAAAUAAGAUCUCGAUUUUAUUUCGUUGGUUUUAGAAAUUGAGAUA
This 213-nucleotide ribosomal RNA is filed under the name uncultured fungus. RNAcentral describes it as "partial small subunit ribosomal RNA". The stretch from base 86 to 213 matches the Rfam family "Eukaryotic small subunit ribosomal RNA", at positions 733 to 864 of the family's 1831-position model. The record is from RNAcentral. Lineage: Eukaryota; Fungi.